CCUACGGGCGGCAGCAGUAGGGAAUCUUGCACAAUGGGCGAAAGCCUGAUGGAGCAACGCCGCGUGCAGGAUGAAGGCCUUCGGGUUGUAAACUGCUUUUAUAAGCGAGAAAGAUGAUGGUAACUUAUGAAUAAGGAUCGGCUAACUACGUGCCAGCAGCCGCGGUCAUACGUAGGACCCGAGCAUUAUCCGGAGUGACUGGGUGUAAAGAGUUGCGUAGGUGGGCAAGUAAGUAGCUAGUGGAAUCUGGUGGCUCAACCAUUAAGACUGUUAGCUAAACUGCUAAGCUCGAGACCGUUAGGGGUAACUGGAAUUUCUAGUGUAGGGGUGAAAUCCGUAGAUAUUAGAAGGAACACCGAUAGCGUAGGCAGGUUACUGGGACGGUUCUGACACUAAGGCACGAAAGCGUAGGGAGCAAACGGGAUUAGAUACCCCUGUAGUC
This 442-nucleotide ribosomal RNA is filed under the name uncultured bacterium. RNAcentral describes it as "partial 16S ribosomal RNA". It matches the Rfam family "Bacterial small subunit ribosomal RNA", at positions 338 to 795 of the family's 1533-position model. The record is from RNAcentral.